CAAAUGGCUCUUUUAAGAGCCAUGCGCGUUAUCAUUGAGCAAACGU
Molecule: non-coding RNA, 46 nt
Organism: Gasterosteus aculeatus (three-spined stickleback)
Lineage: Eukaryota; Metazoa; Chordata; Actinopteri; Perciformes; Gasterosteidae
Source: Rfam